GGGGUGAGGGUGGCGAGUCAGGGCAGGGGGCUCGUGGGGCCGGCACCAUGCCGUGCCUCAGUUUCCCCUCCUGGCAUUGUGGCAGAUACUGCCCAUAGUACUGGGCUUGGCCAGGGGGACAGGGACGCUGUGCCCCCCUGCACCUGCCACCCAGCCCUGCAGCCGUGGCUCAGCCCAGGAGUGGCUCAGCUGGAAUUCAGACAGAGCUGGACACAACCAAUGAGCCCAAUGUCAGCCCAGGACGACAAGCCUGGGGAGGGAGUGGCCGUUUGCAGGCUGUCCCGGUGACAGUGCCCCACAUCCCAACUGUGUCCUCGGGAUGGGCUCUGGAAGGGGCCAUGGGAAGGGGACAUUCAGCUGUGGGUGGCCUUGAAGGACAGCUGGAUGGCUGGUUGUGAGCUGGGUGGUUGGUGGCCUGCUGGCAGUGAGUGGAUGGCAGUGGAUGGGUGGCUGCUGAGUUGGUUGCCUGGCUGGCCAGUUGGCCACAUGACUGCCUGGCUGGCUCAUUGGCUAGACGGCUGGUUGGCACCAGUCAGGCUGUCUGUCCAGCUGUCUGUCCGCUUGUCUGGCCAGCUUUGCAGUUGGCUGGUGGUCCCAGGGGCUGCCUAGCUGGCCAUGGCAGCCCUGGCCCCGGGACCAGCAACAUCCCAGCGUGUCCCACCCCAGCACCUGGCACUGUCCCUUGCCCAGCGGGGGGAGCCCGGCCGCGGGCAGGGGGAGGCCGAGGUGUGGGUGGCACAUCCGCCGUCCCUGUCCCCGUCACGCUGCCUCUCAUUACGGACACGGCGGGGCCCGUCACCCUCCCACCGAGCGGCAAUUAAGGGCUGACAACACCGGCAGCUAAUUAGCGCCAGCGACCCAGCACCAGGCACUGACGGUGACUCUGUGUGACAAUCCACGGGAGCUGCAGUGACGCUGCGUGGCACCCGGCGGCCCCACAGUGACAGUGACACCCUGUGCACUGCGCGGUGACAGUGACACCAUGUGACACUCCAGGGAGCAACAGUGAAGCUGUGCAACACCGCAGGGCUGCGCAGCAGCUCCGUGUGACACGAGUGGGGCUGUGCAGCCACGGUGACACUGUGUGACACCCCAGGGAGGUGUGCAGUGACACUGACACUGUGCCACACCCCGGGGGCCAUGCAGUGACAGUGACACCUGUGACAACAGACGCCAUGCGGUGACACUGAUGACACCAGUGCCGUGUAGUGACACCACGCUCGCCCCCUCCCGCCUGUUCCCCUUUGUGGGUAUUGAGGCACCCACCCAGUUCCCACGUGGGGACAUCACCCUGUAACUGCAGCCUCGUGGGGGACUGUCCCCACCCCCUGCCCCAGCGGAGGUCCCAUGGUGGGUGCACCAAGGAAGGGGGGGCUCUAGGAACGGGGUACAGCAGGGAAGGGGUGCUCUGAGGAAGGGGUUACCCCAGGGAGGGAGUGCGCUGUGGAGGGGGGACACUAAAGACGGGAUGCUCCAGGGAUGGAGCUCCAAGAAAGGGAGGUUUCAGGAAUGGGGUGUCCCAGGAAGGGGAUGCUCUGAAGAAGGGGUGCAGCCGAGAGGGGGUGCCCCAGGAAGGGGGUGCUCCAGGUAGGGCUGCUCCGGUUCAUAAGGGGGUGCAGGAGCAGGGGGUGCAGCAGGAGGAGUGUCCGUCUGUCACGAGCCCCCGCCAGCCGCAGCAGAAUCGAUCCGGCCGCCAAUUUGCACAGUCAAAUAUUUGGCUUCGCGGCGCGGGGCCGGCUCUGCUCGAGCCGCCCCGGUGGGCGCAGGCCCGCGGUGACGGUGGCGGCUGCUCCGCGAUCGAUGGUGGGAUGUGAGGAGAGCUGGGGCGGCCCCAGCGAGCGGGGCCGGGGCUGGGGCCCUGGUGCAGCACCCGAGAUCCUCCAUCAGCACCCACGGGCCUUGGGAGCCCAUGUGGAGCCCGCUCGUCUGUGCUCACCUGUGCCACGAGCGCAGGGGCUCAGCCAGGGUGUCCUCCAGGCCCCCCCGAUCACCGCUGCCACCCAGCCCAGGGAGCUGAGCCAUCUGUCACCGGCAGGGGAUGGCUGAGGCUCGGCCACACGGCCACAGGUGUCCCCGAGGGGGUUGGGCAGGAGUGGGACUGGCGGUGCUGAGGCGAUCGUGGGGCAGCUCCCACGGAUUGGCAUCACACAGCUCCCAUGGACACAGCUCCAGAGCCCUUUCCCCGUGGGUGCCAACGCCUGGACCCGCAGCCCAGGCAGGCGGCUCAGCCCAGGGCUCUGCAGCAGGCUCCCCCGGCAGCCCUGUGCCUCACCGUGCCCCCAGAUCCGCUCGCUCCCUCGGCCCCGCUAAACUCGUUAGCGGCGGCCGAACGUCAGCCGGGCGGGAGCGAAGCGCCAAAUGCGAUUACGGCCCCGUCUGCUCCGUCCUUCCACCCCCGGCCCCAUUUAUCGCGGAGGCGGGCGGGAGGGAGGCGGAACUGGCGCUUAUCUCGGCCGAGAAAUCCCGCUCUGGCUCUGAUUUAUGGCUGGCUGCGAGGGGCUCCAGCGGCACUGCACAAUUAUGGAGCAUUUAGAGCACGAAGAGGUCAGCGCUCAAGCACGGCUCCCCCAGCACAGCUGGAAGGGUCGGGGUAGCCAGGUGGAUGCUCCAGCCCAGGGAUGCUCCCUGGGGUUGCACAGGGACCACCAGGUCUCUCCAGGUGGGUGAGACAUGGGACUUGUGGGUGCUCAGGGGAGGACGGGGAUGGAAGAAUGCCUGGCUCCAAAAAGAGGCACGUGCUGGCUGGGGACACCCUGGGAAGGUCCUGUGUCUAAAGGAUGGCGCAGGGGACAGGCAGGACACUGCCUCACAGGACCGAGGCCAGGCAGGAGGGUGGGAGCACCCUGGAGGAUCCCAGGCAUCACCAUGUGCAGGAAGGGGGCCAGGGGCUCACAGCACCCCCUUUUCUCCCAGUGUGGGGAUAAGCAGUGGCAGUGGGGACAGGGGUACCCCAGAGGGAACCUGCUGGGCACAGAGACCCACUGCAGCUCCAGGAUCAUAUCCCAGCAAGCCAGACCCACCCUGUGGGGUGCCCAGCGCCAACACUGAGGCACAGCCCUCCCAAGGAAGGUCAUGGCAGGCCUGUUGCUCCAAGCAGCUCCUGGAGCAGCUCAGGGAUGUUUACUGGGAAAAGCAGGAGCAGCCAGCAGCUCUUCCUGCGUGUGCUGAACUUUACAGAGCGCAGCCGUGCCCCGGCAUAGGAACAACCUGGGAGCAGGCUGGGAAGAGCCAGGGGAGCAGUCGUGGGAUGCGGAGCAGCUGCUGUUCAGUGUUUUAUUAAAACAAAAGUGAAGACCCAGCACCCGCCUUGCCCAGGCUCAACUCUCCCACUGGGAAAGUGCUGCUGAAGGAAGCUCAAACAGAAGGAAAUGAGUUUGAAGGAGGUCAGGUCUCAGCCUGCUCCAGUGUGGAUCAGACCCUUGGAUCUGAAGCCAAGGGUGACCCAUGAGUGAUGGCCACAGAAACAGAGGGCAGGGAAGAAGAGCCCCCAGCUGAACAGCUGAUUCAUGUGAACGAGGUGCUGUCCUCCCCCCACCAAUGAUUUAAUGAAUUUCCAUUAAAUCAACAUGAAAGAGGGGAAAUCCCAAACCUAAAUCUGGAUUAGGAGGGUUGAGCUAUGAGGAAUCACCCAGGGAACACUGGAGGCAAUUACAGGGCCUGAGAAGGCACCCAGCCCUAGGGAGGAGAUUGUCCAGGAAGACAUUAAAGUGAGAUUGUACCCGAUUAAAGUGAGACUGUCCCAGAAUAAAGUGAUAUUGUCCCAGA
Parus major (Great Tit) is the source of this 3765-nucleotide long non-coding RNA. RefSeq lists it as uncharacterized. Lineage: Eukaryota; Metazoa; Chordata; Aves; Passeriformes; Paridae. The transcript is spliced from 2 exons. The record is from RefSeq and is a predicted model, not a curated record.